RNAcentral lists this ribosomal RNA (3162 nucleotides) under Triticum aestivum (bread wheat). RNAcentral's name for it is "partial small subunit ribosomal RNA". Lineage: Eukaryota; Viridiplantae; Streptophyta; Magnoliopsida; Poales; Poaceae. The record is from RNAcentral.
GGAAAGGCGAUGACUCUUGCACGCGCGUCUUUCCUGGGUCGGCGCGGCAGGCGAGGAAGCGCGUUCGGGGGGAGGGGGUGUGUGUCGGCGGCGUGGGAAGAAGGGCAGGAGGUGGGGCGGACCCGCGGCGGAGGAGGAGAGGGAGAAGGCGCCGAGCGGGUCGGUGGCAAGGGUCGGGGCGACGAAGCAGCAAACGAGGAGGUGACUGCCGUCAAAUCCAUUCUGCUUCUACUCGCAGGCUAGAUGCGGGAGCGGUCCAACGGAGGUAAUCACUCCUCGCCGGCUAGGUGCACACACGGCAGCGACGUCCCUAUCGCUUACAGUCGCUCUAUCCGGCAGCAACCUCGUGCGUCGGCACGGGGGGAGGCGAAGAGGACCGCCGUGGAGAGAUGGCCUCAGGUAAGAAGAACCGAAAGUUGCGACGGACAAGAACGACACUUGAUAACAAUAUAAUGCGAGACGUCAGCGAGACGUCUACCCUCCUUUGUUACUCCUGUCCCGUCAAAAAUACGUCUACAACUACAAAAACCGACCUUAGUUGUGGGAAGAUUUCUCAAAGAAACCAAUGGAUUAACGGACGUCACUAACCACCUAGUGUGUGGAAACAAGAUGGAUGGUAAAACUAGUAUGAACACCCUGCGAUACGUCUGCUUAGUCUAGGUGUGCAUAAUAUACAACUUUUCUUCCCAUUAAGAUGAACGGAGGGUCAUUAGAAAAGGACGUACAUUUGACUACUUAGUGGACCUAAAGCAAAAACUACCUUAAGGGGUUUUAGAACGUACCUCGUUUUCCACGAAACUAGCAACGAAGACAUGAACCACUAGAAGAAAUGACAAAUUAUCAACGAAGUACAAAGAUAUCCUAUGGGGGUACGAUGUACCGUUGGUAUCACUCGUACAGUUUUCAAAUCGUACUAAUAAUAUUAAGAGAAGAGACAUUUAAUAAUAUACUUCAAACGCAAAACGAACCAAUUGAGAAGACUUCGAGUGUACGAAAAGAAUUUCGAACCACGACUGUGAGUAUUUAGACAACAUCCGAGUGAUAUAUUCUAUUACUUAGACACAAGAUAUCUGAUAGCACCAUUUCUCCAAAAAUAGUCCAAUAAGUAAGGGUACGUAACUUGGAUACCAAGAUUGAAAACGGGUACUAUUUCUUUUACCCCAAAUGGCGAAAAUUAGUUGUAGAUUAAUUUGGUUGUUUUGUAGAUGUCAAGGCGGUCGUAUUGUAAAAAAAACGACCACCUGUAUGGUUUAAUGAGUAUACAUAGUAUAAUACAACGAAGGGUAUAACAAAAGAGGGUCCUUACUGCUCCGUAAGUCCAAGAGAAAAAUCGAAAGGAUGUGUCCUUGUAUAACGUUUUAAUUAUAUGUAUUGCAACAAGGUGGAUGUCCAGAUAGAAUAUAGAUGUCCAUAUAUGUACGUAAGAAACAAGAAAAAGAAGUCACUAGAUGACUAGAAGUACUAAAUCAAAUCACCAUCUCAAUCGUUUUAGACAGUACCUCGUCUAACACGAACUGAAGUGCACACAUACUACAUUAUACUUAAUUACCAAAGAAACACCAACUGAGCCAACACACGGAAAACAGACUUAGUUAUCUCUUUUUAGACUUAUAUAUGGACUUACACCACCAAAGUGUGUAAGACUUGCUUCGAUGGUUACUCAUAUGGAACGAAGACUUUAGUACUCGAAAAAGGAAGAUACUUUUCACUAUUUCAAUGUUGUAUCAAACGAGUUUCCGCACGUAUUGACGUCUAACUCGUUCCGUGUUAGACUCUUCUUUUAUUUUAUUUUAAUCUUUGUCACACACGUAGUACACAUACAAACGAGUGCUCUACACAUAUACAACCGACUCGCUGCGACAACCCUCACGGCCAGCACCGCGGAGCGGAGCCCUCGGGCAGCUGCACCACACGAGGACGCAGGGGCGGAACCGGCGGAGCGCAACCUGUCCUCCCCUAUUCAGUUAGGGAUUAAUUCUAUAGGUUACUUUGACCGUUGUAGUAAUACCUUACCUUUACUAACCUACUGUUUAACAUAUCUAAAUCAUAGCAUAGUAAAUAAACACUGACGUACUAGAAUUAACGCACAGAGACUUAUAAAAUACGGGAACGAGAACCCUGUAAUCUGACUACACCACAACGAAAUAUUUAUUUACUGUACGAAUGAAUGCCCAAACUAAAUCCACACAUCCGAUUCCGCUUUUUUCUUAGUAUUAGAGUCCAAACCCGUACGUGUACCGGUGACUAGUGUUUUAUUCAUCCGUGUCCACGUCAUAACACUAAAAAUUCGUUCUCUCACUAAAAGUCGUUCUCUUUCUCUUCAUGUCAAUUAACAAGUAUAAAAUUCGACGUGAACUUGGAACAGGAUUAUUCAUGAGGGACACAAAGAUUUAUAUUCAGAAAUAUCUCUAAAGUUAUCUUUGAUGUAUACCUACAUAUAUCUGCAUCAAACCUCACAUCUGAGUGAGUAAAACGAGACACACAUCAGGUAUAACAUUAUAGAUUUUUAUGAAUAUAAAUCCUUGCCACCCUCAUCUUGACAAUACUACAACGAGUUAAUAUUCACGGAGUGAAUUUACGAACCAAUCCAGCUCACAUAUCGUUACUCUUCAGAUCGACUUGUUACGAUCUUUAUUGUAAUUACACAAUAUUCGAAGUCUAUUCGGUUUAUAAAACACUGUUCGAAACCUUUAAUGGACCCGACCCUUUGUCGUUAUACAUCGAUAGGACACAACGUACGUCCGUUACGAACACAUAUCGAUACGGUGUAGACGAUAGACUGUGAGUCGGGGUCAAAAAUAUUGUUAAUCUUAAACACUAAGAUUAGACUAAGUAACACAAUGUCCUAGGAAACGUAUAACCGGAGAAGAAUGGCCGUAGACCAUUUUCAACACUAGCUCCUCUUCUAUUACUGCCAGAAUAUUGAGACCGUUCGGGCCGACUGUCAGGAAGAACGAGAGGAGAACCAUAUUGUAAGUUACCAUCACUAUCGAAACCCGCACUGAGACGUGGGAAAGUACAUUAACACAAGGAACUUGCUAUAAAUAUUAACACUAUGAGUCAAAUACUCUCUGUUUACCUGGUUACCAAUUACUAGGACACAACUCUUUUUUUUACCUUACACGUAACUCACCGAAAUCAAAAGAAACGGUAGUAUGUUGC